GAUUUGCUCGAGAGUAAUCAGGCUGCAAAGGGUGCCAAUGGUAUUGCUACCCUCUACUGUUCUUGUUCUACUUUAAAAACUACUAGAACAUUGCGGCGCCCUUACGGGCGCCCUAUCGAGACAACAACAUUGUUUCUUUAGCAGUGUUGCUCUGUACAAGGAUACUUCAUACUUGUGAGCAUAUGUGAUGUAAAUGGAGACAAAAGAAAAUUUUAUUACAUGCAUUUCCAUUUGGGAUGUAAAAAAGGUGUCUAUCUGUAGGAUCAAACCAAUUGGACUUCCAAGUCUUAAUUCAUAGAACCACUACUUGGCAGGAUAAUUGUCACUCUCAGAACCUCUUUGUUGUGUCUUAGUUCUAUGCCACUGCCAUUGAAUCUUUCAUACUGUCAUACAGAAUUUAAAGAUCUUUUGCCAUAUCAGUGAAUAAUUCUAUUUAUGUAAUCAGUUUCUCAGAGGCUUGACGUAUUAGUAAACUUUGAUUUUUUUAUCAGAAAGAAACCUGACCUUCAGGAAUGGUUCCUUAAUUUGGUUGGCUCUGGCAGCACUGGUAAGUGACGUUAAUAGUGCAUUGUGGGAGUUGUGGCCAAAGAUACUAACAUUUCUUUUCUCAAAUUACUCAUUGACAUUCCUACCCAAUUGGUAAACAUGAAGCUUUUUUGCCCUAAAAAAUAAAAUUACUACAUACACCAAAAUAUAAAGAAUAAGUGAAUAAAGUGACUUUUUAACUUGACCUGCAUUCUUGUAGGAGCAGAAUGAAGAACAGCAUUAAGGAGUCCAAGAAUAGUUUGUCUUUCCUAUUCCUAGAGGGUCCUACAAAUAAGCAGAUAAAACCUACAAGAAACAACAUAAUCAAACAAUCAAACAUUACUGUUAAAUGGUGUAUGUUGUUCAAUCUACAUGUCAUUCAAAAGAAAAGCAUAUAGCUAAGACAGCUCAUGUAUCUACAAUAUUUUCAUAUAACUAAUCAAGAUAGUUAAUCAUUAACAAUGUAAAUUAAUAGUGGUAAAAAAUAAGAGACCUAAAUAAGAACAAAGGAUUUGCGUGAAAGACCUGCUAAGAGAAAAAUGAAGUUUUAAAAAUACUCGCCUUCAGUAUCCACAACAAGCUAUUUUGACUUGCAAUAAUGGAAGCAAAAUGUUCUUGUAGACUCCAUAGGCUCUGCAACAUUCAGAUCUUGAUUUUUACCUGCCACAAAAGUUGAAAUAUGUAAGCCACCAGCACGCAGUUUCUACAUACACCACACGCGGCCAAAACAUAGAUAAAAAAUCUUGGCAACUCACCAGCAAAUUAAGAAUAAGCAACAUGGUGAGGUGAGGAAAAAACAAACUGCAGUCGUGCACACCCUAACCUUCCUUGUCAUCACCACGUCCCUAGAUGAUAUGUGCCUUGACCUCCUCAAGACCUCAAAGAGCAGUGGCUGAAAUACCUUGAGGUACUUAGCCGCCGAGACAUAUGUCUUCUUCACACACUGGAGCACAUUGGCCUGCUUGCCGCACUGAGCCAAGAGCUCGAGAAGGUUAGGGAUUUAGAAGGUACCUGACUGGUGGCACGAGGCAACCGGGCAUAAGCAGUGGCGCCAGCAGCGUGGGUGGCAGCAAGCGCGACACGAGACCCUUUGUGCUGAGAUCCAAGACGCACUCUUUGGCACCAGCAAUGUCCCAAAGCUUCGCCCCAUCGAACGCAGAGGACGCAGGGCCAGCUCGAGCGACGACACCGAGGUCAGAACUCAGGAUGAGGCAACGGGAGGGACGUCGUCAGAAUCUGAAUGGGCGGUGGGACGAUGGUCUGGUGGGUCAGACCAUCGGAGUGGGGAGAGGGGCAUACCGCGGACGUGACACACGGCCGCACGGGCACAAGCACAACUCAGCUGAAACAAAGAAAAAAUUUUUGGGUCCGACCACUGGGGCACGCGUCGGCUCACGAAAGGUUAUUCGGGCGUGAAGCACGGAGAGGCGCUCAAACUCGAGCGGCUUUUAAUACUUUAGAUGACAUGCCAUCCAUGACGGGCUGAAGAGUGCAAGGUGAGAACAAAAGGUUGUUUGUAGAGAUUAGGGGGAUGCAGUUAUGCAAUCACCAAUUUAUAUACUCAAGUUUUUGUCUUUUUAAUCUAUUUAGUAAUUCAUUUGAGACUAUGGAUUUAUUUCUGGAUUUUUUCUGAUAUUUUAAGGGAGUAACAUUAUCUUCUAUUGAUUCUUAGUGUCCUUUCGUCAGUUCCAGUUUCUUAAAAAAUGUAGAAACAAUAUCGGGUUGACAUGAGUUUGGGUUCUUAAUUAUUCCUCAAUGCCAAAUAAACCUUGGGUCCUAACUAUCUUGUGCUUGUGUGUAGCCUGACAGUCACUGGACAUAUCAUCUUUGUUCUCCAACAGAAGGAGCGUCACAGGUUAUGACCUCUUCUACGAGCACACCCUGACCUUGACUGAAUCUUUGUGUGGCUUCCAGUUUGUUUGUUGUCACUCACUUGGAUAACAGGCAGCUUCUGAUCAAAUAAAAUCUGGAUGAAGUUGUGAAGCCUGGUGGGUGGAUCUGAACAUGAAAGGUAUCACUUCUCGAGGCACGGUGCAUGCAAAUAUAACACAAGUUUGUAUCGAACUGACAAAACGAACUCGAAGCUUCUGUUGUGUACAUUUUUCAGAUUGGAAAAUGGAUGGCCUCCAUCUCUCUCUAUAUGCAUUUAAAAGUAAGUACCGAGGAAAUCUGCUACACUAUCCGGAUAUUGGUUUAUUAUCCCAAAUCGUGAUAAAGGAGAAUCGUUUUUUUAGAUGGCUGAAAUACAAUAAGUACCGAGGAAAUUGUCUGAUACUGGAGUGUAGACUUAUGCUGAAGGAAUGUUUAGAACAAACAUGAUGGUGUCAACAUGAAGUUGAGAUAUAUGAAUUAAUUAUGGAGGAUUGAGUGUCUGUCAGUCCAUGCAACAUGCAAAUAGCGUAUAUCUGGUGAGGCAACGAAUGGGGGAAAUAAUAAAUAAAUACUAACAAAAAUAUAUUUUCCUGAAAGCUUAUACUAGCUUACCUUUGUUCAUUUUUUUGAAGCUAUCUUUUUAGGCUCGGAGUCAACAACAGGAAGUGCUCUCAUUCUAUGCUUCAUUUUCAGAACAUGAAGUGGUUUUGGAAGCUGUGCAUAAAAGGAGGUGCAGGACUUGUAGCCAAUGGAAUGUAACUGGAAGGGAACAAUGCUGCUUGUCUCAAGGCGCUUGUCCGUGACGCCGUCGGCGCCCGACUCCGGGGGCGAUGGGAAGAGUUGCGUUUCAUUACACGGGACACCAGGACGGGAGGGGGAAGAGGAACAAUCUCAUGAUCUCACCUUUUUUCCUCAUCUGACAUAAUUCUCUCUCGGCAGGUGCAACUGCUGCAUCAGCCACAUCAUUUGAUUAAUCCAUUUUUAUGAUCAGAUUCCCACUGGUGGCGGCUCUCCUCUCUCUGAGAAAACCGACCCUCUUGGUACCAUUUCUGCUGCUCCAUGGGGAUCUGCUUUGAUUAUGCCAAUUUCCUACACAUAUAGCCAUGAUGGGCUCACUGAUGCUUCAAAGAUUGCGAUCUUGAAUGCAAACUACAUGGCAAAACGUCUAGAGAAACACUACCCAGUUCUGUUCCGUGGAGUCAACCGAACUAUUUUCCGUUGAAAAUACCGUCACCACAGUCUGCUAUCUUCAGUUUUAGUUUCACUUUAGUUUACCUUUAGUUUCAGUUGCAGGUUAUCUUCAGUUUCAGUUUUAGUUUCUCUUCAAUUUCAUUUUACGUGUGUACUCAGUUUCAGUUUACCGGUGUACUCAGUUUCAGUUUCAGUUUACCUGUGUACUCUUUGACGUUGUUUUUCCAUUUGUCUUGUUUCCUCUAUGAAUACUAGUGCGCUAAUUUAUAUUACUUUCGAAAAUAGAUGUGAGGCUCAUUCAUUAGUGCAUAUGCUGAUCGUGGCUAUGAAAUAAAGUUAUAAACAAAUCACUAUAACGCCCAUUUAUUUGACGUGGAUAGAUUCAAAACAAAACUACAACCUAUAUUUAGAGAGCUGUUGGAGAACUAACAAUUUUGAACUCCUAAAGUUAGUUAGCAACUUCAUAAAUUUGUGAUUUAGGGAGUUAAAAUUUACAUAACUAUUGGAGCUGCUCUUAUAUCUGAAUCAAAUUCAGAACUGAACCAUGCAUCGAUGCAUUGCGGUCUCUAGCCGUCUCCCUAGAACUUUGUCAGGUGACUGCUUGUAUAGAGCCGGAGGAUGUGGCAAAGCGCUUGAUGGACUAUGGGUUUCACGCACCGACUAUGUCAUGGCCUGUUCCUGACACACUUAUGAUUGAACUAACUGAAAGUGAGAGCAAGGUAAGUGUCGGUGUUUCGAACCUCGCUCCGACAAGUAAAUUUAUUGUGCGCGUUCCGGGCUCCGGAGGUUGUGCGCGGUGGGCGCAAGAUUUAAACUGGUUCGGGCAGAACGUCCCUACUUCCAGUCAUCGGCGGCUUGCGCUACCGGCACCAUUAAUGAUCGAAACUCAUAGUAGGGGUUACAAGCGGGCGAGAGGGAGGAGGCUCCCAAGUCUCUUUAUCGGGGUGGCAGUGGAGCUUUGAAGCUACAGAGUGGAGUCCUAGCUAAAUCUUGGCUUGGUGGCGGGGCUCCGGCCUCCUGGUCCUUAUCGGCGCUCCUCCUCCUCCUGUUCGCCCUAGUGGGUGCGUGUCCGAGUGAGCUCGGUUCCGUCUGAAACGUCGUCUGGCUGCCUCCGACUUGCCUGGAGGUCAACCCCUCCCUUUUUAUAGGCUGGGAGAGGGGUCGGAUAGCGGUGGCUUCCUUGGGAAGGAGCCGUAAGGCAAGGGUAAAACCAGCGUUCUACUCGGGGUAAAGCCACGCGUACUCGUGGGGCCCGGGGUUGCCUGGCUGUCUCGUAUUUACCGUGGCAGACGGCGCGUGGCUGCGAGGGUCCCAGGCGCCAUCAUUUAGGCUACGCCGACCCCUGGCCUCCGUAGCCUGGGGCUCGGCGCGGCCCGUCGUGUUGCACCCUGCCAGAGGUCUGCGUGCUCAGGCCUAGUCCGAUAGGCCAUGAGUGCGCCGUAGGCCGAGGGGCGCGCGGACCAUAAAUGUGCCGCAGUCCGGGGGGGCUCGUAGGUCAUGAGUGCUGUGCGGACCGAGGGGUUCGUAGGUCAUGAGUGGAAAGCGGACCGGCACCCACGCUGUGGCUCGGUGCCAGGCGUGGUUAAUGCGGCCGGUCAUUUACGACAGGUCAGUCUGGGGCCGGGCACGGGAUCCACUCGAGUGGUUCCCUUCCGACACGCCUGGCCCCUCCUGUCAGGUUCCACCACGUUCGACCCCGGGCUCGGUGCCGCGGGGCUCCACCGGGGGUGAGUUCUUUCAGGGUUGACGUAUCCACCUCUUCCAGCUGACCGGCAGGCCCCAACGGCCAGGGGCUCUUCCCUCAGUGCGCUCUCUGACCGGCGGGUCCCGAAGACCGGGGAUCGUAUUCCCGACAGUAAGCAUGUGUAGCUUUUAACCAUCCUUUGCUUCCUGUUCUAUCAAUCAGUUAGUUGAUUUCACAUUAGCUUAUGAUAUCGUACCAUUUUGUCUUGGCGGGCCGAGCUGGACAGGUUCUGUGAUGCUCUUAUCUCCAUCGGGGAAGAGAUUGCAGAGAUAGAAAAUGGCAAAGCAGAUGUGCUCAACAAUGUCCUGAAGAUAAUGUCUCAUUAGUGUCAAAUGGUGGUAUCAAUUAGCUGGCAACUAUUUGCCAUAUCAAGCCAUAUCUCUCUCCACAGUCAGCCAAUAUUUUUUAGUUACCAUCUACUAACAAUCAACCAAUAUUUUUAGCUUAAAUACCAUGAUUCUAGAAGAGAAACGGUGGUGCUUAACUUGCAGUUUGCCUCUUUCAUUUGAUCAAUUCCCCACUUCUGUUCUUAGAUUUACACUCAAAUCUGACACAUUGUACUUGUUUUUGUCCAUUUCUCAACUUCCAAUGCCUUUGCUCAAUUAAUUUUUAUAAAAUUAUAUGAACUUCUAUGACCUUUCUACAUGUGUUUUUGAUGGAAACGAAGCCAAUUACAGUUAUGUUCUACAGGUGGAAAUAUGUGUUGUGCUAUAUGGCAUGCCUGAUUUGCUUCUCCAGUUGUAAAGUUUUCACUUAAUGUGUUCUUUACACACAUGACGACUAAUAUGAGCAGUUCUGUUGCAGAAAAAUGGUGAAAUCUAUUGCUAUGGAGUGGAUUCGAUAAACAUUGGAACUCAGAAGGCUGUAUAUCCAUCCCUGACGUGCAGCAAGGACCGUGGCUCCAUGGCCCGUGUGUGUCGUGCUAUCGAGGAGCUUCGGCUCCGGAACAUCACUGCCAACAUCACCUCCAUCGUCGGCUGCCUCAUGCACACCAUCUUCAUCGAGGUACAUCGGCAGGCAGCAUGCAGCACCAGUAUCAGUAUUUGCAUUGUUUGGGAAGCGCACAUUGCUCUGCUUUUCGUGUUGAGUUUUCGAAUGAUUAGGAUGGAUGUAGGUUUGACCGAACAAUUUGACUUUUUUCUCGUUUCUUUUUUAUUAGAAAGGUGGAGUGAAUUAAUCUGAUCAAAAGAAAUCAUUUGAAAUUAAAUAGUGAGAUGGGGUCUGAAUAUCUGAUGUAAAAAUGGGGGUAACAAUGUAUUGGUUGUCGACAAAGAAAUUGUGAAGUAUUAAAGUCGAUAAUAAUAUAUAUGUUGGUCA
Molecule: long non-coding RNA, 6649 nt
Organism: Zea mays
Lineage: Eukaryota; Viridiplantae; Streptophyta; Magnoliopsida; Poales; Poaceae
Exons: 4
Source: RefSeq, a predicted model, not a curated record